Gasterosteus aculeatus (three-spined stickleback) is the source of this 1083-nucleotide long non-coding RNA. Lineage: Eukaryota; Metazoa; Chordata; Actinopteri; Perciformes; Gasterosteidae. The record is from Ensembl.
AUGUCCGCUCCCUCUGUCCUCCACCUCCCCCUCUCCUCUGCAUUCUGUCCCUCCCACUCCUCUGUGCAUUUGCUCGCUCUCUCUCCCUCUCCCUCCCCUUCCUGCAUUGCUCCUCUCCCUCCCACCCACCUCCUCCCCUUCCCGCUCCUCUCUCCUUCACGCCUCCUCCUUUCCUCUCUCCCUGCCCCCACCUCCUUCUGCUCUGUUCUCUCCUUCGUCACGUUGCACACACACACACACACACCCGUCGCUCCUUCCCUCCCCCACCUCCUCCACUCCAAUCCGCUCUCGCUCCUCUCCACCACCACCAUAAUUACAUACUCCCUCUCCACGCCACUUCUCCUCUCCUCUUUUCCUCCUCAACCCUGCUCUUUCUCCUUCAACAUGUCCUCUUUCUCCUCCUCUCCCCUGUUGCCCCCCGCCAACUCCACUUUUCCCUCUCGUCUCCUGCUCUUCUCCUCCCUUUCAUGCGUUUUUUUCCUCUCCUUGCCGCUCUCUUGUCUGUCCUGCUACGCCCCCUCUCUCCCCACUCAUUCAUCAUGCUCACUCCUCCUCCCCCUGCUCCUAUUCCUCUCUCCCUUCCCCCCAAGCUCCCCUCUGCUCCUGUUCCCCCCUCUGCUUCUCCAAUCCUCUCCCUCCUCCUUCUCAUCUCCCACUUCUCCACCCUCUUCUCUCCUCCAACUCACUCCUGACGUUCCAAUCAUCUCCUCCCACUUCUACCCCCCCCCCCCUUCAUAUUCUAUUAUAUCUCCUUCCUGUCUCCCGGUGGCCCCCCUCUCUCCUACCUCCUCCCUCCUGCUCUCCUUCCUCUUUCACCUACCUCCCACCAUUCGCUCAUCUUCCUCUCUUCUCCACAGGAGGCAAGUCAAAGAAGGGCCCGGCAGCAGUCUAUGGAAAAGGCUGGCCUGGAGGUGUGUGGGAGGAAAGAGGAGGAGGAGGAGUUGGUGGUGGAGGAGGAGGAGCAGGAAGAAGAAGAAGAAGGGCAGGAGCUGUGGGGAUGGUGGCAGGACCAGGAGGAAGAGGAAGAGGAAGAGGGGGGAAGGAGGCCAGGGAGAUGUACCUCAUCCAGUUCCCCGGGGAUGA